RNAcentral lists this ribosomal RNA (473 nucleotides) under uncultured organism. RNAcentral describes it as "partial 16S ribosomal RNA". It matches the Rfam family "Bacterial small subunit ribosomal RNA", at positions 335 to 799 of the family's 1533-position model. The record is from RNAcentral.
ACUCCUGCGGGAGGCAGCAGUGGGGAAUUUUGGACAAUGGGCGAAAGCCUGAUCCAGCAAUGCCGCGUGUGUGAAGAAGGCCUUCGGGUUGUAAAGCACUUUUGUCCGGAAAGAAAUCCUUGGCUCUAAUACAGUCGGGGGAUGACGGUACCGGAAGAAUAAGCACCGGCUAACUACGUGCCAGCAGCCGCGGUAAUACGUAGGGUGCGAGCGUUAAUCGGAAUUACUGGGCGUAAAGCGUGCGCAGGCGGUUUGCUAAGACCGAUGUGAAAUCCCCGGGCUCAACCUGGGAACUGCAUUGGUGACUGGCAGGCUAGAGUAUGGCAGAGGGGGGUAGAAUUCCACGUGUAGCAGUGAAAUGCGUAGAGAUGUGGAGGAAUACCGAUGGCGAAGGCAGCCCCCUGGGCCAAUACUGACGCUCAUGCACGAAAGCGUGGGGAGCAAACAGGAUUAGAAACCCCUGUAGUCCCAUG